Molecule: long non-coding RNA, 237 nt
Organism: Carassius auratus (goldfish)
Lineage: Eukaryota; Metazoa; Chordata; Actinopteri; Cypriniformes; Cyprinidae
Exons: 3
Source: RefSeq, a predicted model, not a curated record
UAAUGAAACCCUCUUGGUGCCCACUACACAUAAUUUGAGACAUACAGAAUUACCAUAGGCCCAUCAGAAUCAACAAUCUUUGCCAAACUGGAUCCGGACUGCAAAACUUAUGAAGAUGUUUGCAUAAUGAAGAAGAGUCCUUGGACAAAUAAUGAAACCCUCUUGGUGCCCACUACACAUGCAGGGGUGUCCAGACCUGCUCUAGGAAAGCCAGUGUUCUGUGGGGUUCAGCUCUAA